UACGGAGGGUGCAAGCGUUAUCCGGAUUCACUGGGUUUAAAGGGUGCGUAGGUGGGCAGGUAAGUCAGCGGUGAAAUCCCCGAGCUUAACUUGUGAACUGCCAUUGAUACUAUCUGUCUUGAAUACCUUGGAGGUGAGCGGAAUAUGUCAUGUAGCGGUGAAAUGCUUAGAUAUGACAUAGAACACCAAUUGCGAAGGCAGCUCACUACACGGUCAUUGACACUGAGGCACGAAAGCGUGGGGAUCAAACAGG
RNAcentral lists this ribosomal RNA (253 nucleotides) under uncultured bacterium. RNAcentral's name for it is "partial 16S ribosomal RNA". It matches the Rfam family "Bacterial small subunit ribosomal RNA", at positions 524 to 776 of the family's 1533-position model. The record is from RNAcentral.